This 253-nucleotide ribosomal RNA is filed under the name uncultured bacterium. RNAcentral's name for it is "partial 16S ribosomal RNA". It matches the Rfam family "Bacterial small subunit ribosomal RNA", at positions 524 to 776 of the family's 1533-position model. The record is from RNAcentral.
UACAGAGGGUGCAAGCGUUAAUCGGAAUUACUGGGCGUAAAGCGUGCGCAGGCGGUUUUGUAAGUCUGAUGUGAAAUCCCCGGGCUCGACCUGGGAAUUGCAUUGGAGACUGCAAGGCUAGAAUCUGGCAGAGGGGGGUAGAAUUCCACGUGUAGCAGUGAAAUGCGUAGAGAUGUGGAGGAACACCGAUGGCGAAGGCAGCCCCCUGGGUCAAGAUUGACGCUCAUGCACGAAAGCGUGGGGAGCAAACAGG